CUGGGAGACCGUGAACACCAGAGCUUUACAAUCCGGUGCUUACCUUUGAGAAGACUGCAAGAGUAAUCUCCAUACUGAGGAUGAAGCUUUCAGCUCCACAUUCAGCGAAGCUGUUAUGAACAGGCAAAACAUGGCAAAAUAGUGUCAUGAAUUUGAAACAGGAAGAAGUGAUGCUCAUGAUCAAAUAAGGAGUGGAAGGCCACCCACUGUCACCGAAGAAAUCAUCCAAAAAAACUGAUGAAAACAUUCGUGCUGACAGAAGUUUAACCAUCGAUGAACUUCAUCAACAAUGUCCAGAAGUGUCAAGAACUGUUCAUGGCUACAGGCUGGAAUAAUAAAACUCAUUCCCAGCCUCACUAAGGACAUUGCACACGUAGUAAAGAAUAGCAGCAGCACGCACAUAGGGAGACUACACAAAAUAACACCUGUACAGUGCUGGA
This is a long non-coding RNA of Cryptotermes secundus, 440 nucleotides long. RefSeq lists it as uncharacterized. NCBI's taxonomy places the organism in Eukaryota, Metazoa, Arthropoda, Insecta, Blattodea, Kalotermitidae. The transcript is spliced from 3 exons. The record is from RefSeq and is a predicted model, not a curated record.